CCUACGGGCGGCUGCAGUGGGGAAUAUUGGACAAUGGGCGAAAGCCUGAUCCAGCCAUGCCGCGUGUGUGAAGAAGGCCUUCGGGUUGUAAAGCACUUUCAGUGGGGAAGAAAGCCUUGGGGCUAAUACCCUCGAGGAAGGACAUCACCCACAGAAGAAGCACCGGCUAACUCCGUGCCAGCAGCCGCGGUAAUACGGAGGGUGCGAGCGUUAAUCGGAAUUACUGGGCGUAAAGCGCGCGUAGGCGGUCUGAUAAGCCGGUUGUGAAAGCCCCGGGCUCAACCUGGGAACGGCAUCCGGAACUGUCAGGCUAGAGUGCAGGAGAGGAAGGUAGAAUUCCCGGAGUAGCGGUGAAAUGCGUAGAGAUCGGGAGGAAUACCAGUGGCGAAGGCGGCCUUCUGGACUGACACUGACGCUGAGGUGCGAAAGCGUGGGUAGCAAACAGGAUUAGAUACCCCUGUAGUC
This 465-nucleotide ribosomal RNA is filed under the name Vreelandella stevensii. Its description in RNAcentral is "partial 16S ribosomal RNA". It matches the Rfam family "Bacterial small subunit ribosomal RNA", at positions 338 to 795 of the family's 1533-position model. Lineage: Bacteria; Pseudomonadati; Pseudomonadota; Gammaproteobacteria; Oceanospirillales; Halomonadaceae. The record is from RNAcentral.